Hypanus sabinus (Atlantic stingray) is the source of this 1769-nucleotide long non-coding RNA. RefSeq lists it as uncharacterized. NCBI's taxonomy places the organism in Eukaryota, Metazoa, Chordata, Chondrichthyes, Myliobatiformes, Dasyatidae. The transcript is spliced from 3 exons. The record is from RefSeq and is a predicted model, not a curated record.
AUUGUGACCCUUCAUUUCAUCCUAAAAGAGUAGAGGGGUGAGAGUGGGUAUAAAGAGGUGAGGGGGAAGCGUGCCACAGCAACAGGCCAGUGAUUAGUGAAUCGAGGUGAGGAGAGAUUGAUUGGCAGAUGGAGUCAAGCGGCCGAAAGGACGGGUGGAAAUAGCAAGAAAGACAGUGAGGCGAUAGGUGAAGGCAACAAAAGGUUAUAGAUGAUAGAAUCUGAUAGGAAAGGAAGGUGGGCCAUGGAACCAAAUAAUGGAGGUGGGAACAACAUGGGGAGAGAAUCCAGCAGGAGGUUACAGAGGUGAUGAGCAGAUAGAAUAGGUGGGUGAGCCGAGAGAAACGGGGAGAUGCGGGUGUAUGUACAUUAUACGUAUGAUGUUGUGCACGUUGGUCCAGAGGAACGUUGUUUCAUUUGGCAGUAUACAUGUGUACAGUUGAGUGACAUUAAACUGAACACGAGCAUGAACUUAGAUAGAGAGCAAAGGAUAGGUUGGAUAGAUGAGACUGUGCGAGGGAGAUGGGAGUGAAAAGAGAAGAGGAGGGGAGCAGACUACCCUGAAACUGGAGAAUACAAAAUUCCUGCUGCUGGAUGGCAGACUACACAGACAGAAUAUCAGAUCUGGCUGACCGAAGAUAAGGAAUAUCAGCGCAUGAUUUUCAACAUGGUCAGAAACACAGGAACAGGACCGACCAAGUUUCAGCUUAGUUUUUCAGUGUGAGCUUCCAUAAUAUACUUCUGUUCAGAGUUUCAUUCCAAAGUUGGGCACUUCAGACAUGGAAAUGGUUUUAAGGAUCCAGCAUCACAUUGAUUUUCCAACCAAAGCCCAUGAAAAUUUCAAAGUUUCGAAGUACAUUUAUUAUCAAAGAAUGUGCAUCAUUGAGAUUUGUUUGCUUAUGGGCAGCCAGAAAGCAAGAGACCCAAUGGAACCUAAUUGAAAAACAUGAAAUGAAGACCAGCACCCGAUGCACAAAGAAAGGGGAAAAACACAAAUCCUGCAAACAAUAGAAGCGAGUAUCAACAUUUUGAACCAAAAUGAGUCCUUGGAUCUGAACCCCAGAGCAGCCUGGAGUAGGCACGAAGUCUCGGUAGCAGUACAUCAUAUUUCUGGGUACGGUUCACAGCAGCCGGGGCAGUCUUCAUAACCUCAGUGCCAUGGAGAGAGGAGUGACAUUGGGCGAGUGAGUGAAAUCAGCUUUCGCCUCCGAUCCUGACACCCUGUCUUUCCAGUCUAUCUGGGCUGACGUUUAAAUUGUCCAAAUAGCAUAUCCUACAUCACACCAGAACUAGGAAAAUGUCCAGAUUAUGUGAAAUGAAGAGCAGCAUUAAUGUUCUACUUGGUAAUGUUCCUUCGCUUCUACUGCUGGGUAACUGGAUCAUCAAAGAUUAAGAAUCAAAUUGCACAAGAACAAUAUACAGCAAGUGCUAAAAAAAAUCAUAAAAUAAAACUGCUACGAUGAUUCGGGUAGUAUUUGUAGACAGCGAAAAUGAAUUAAAAUUCAUGUUGAAGUAUCAUCAAGCAGAAAUAUUACCAUCACAGAUGCUGCCUAUGCAGCUGAGAAAUUAGGUCAAUGUAAUCUACGGAUACCGUUGGUGUAAUUGAGAUUUCAAUAAUAUUUGAAUAACCUUGUGUGUGUAUAUGUAUAUAGGUUGAUUAAGCAUCCUUGUUUGUUUAAAUAAUUAAUUACAGGUUAUAUGUAAAAAUAUGUUAAUUGCACAUGUCAUCAUAUACCACGUGAUAUGUGCACGCCUUGCUUAAAGUAAACC